This 497-nucleotide ribosomal RNA is filed under the name uncultured bacterium. Its description in RNAcentral is "partial 16S ribosomal RNA". It matches the Rfam family "Bacterial small subunit ribosomal RNA", at positions 28 to 523 of the family's 1533-position model. The record is from RNAcentral.
GAUGAACGCUGGCGGCGUGCCUAACACAUGCAAGUCGAGCGAAAUGUAUAUGGACGAAACUUCGGUCUAGGAAAUAUAUUGACAGCGGCGGACGGGUGAGUAACGCGUAGGCAACCUGCCCUUAACACAGGGAUAGCCUAGGGAAACCGGGAUUAAAACCUGAUAAUGCCAAAUAGUCACAUGGCUGUUUGGCCAAAGAUUUAUCGGUUAAGGAUGGGCCUGCGUCUGAUUAGUUUGUUGGUGGGGUAACGGCCUACCAAGACUACGAUCAGUAGCCGACCUGAGAGGGUGAUCGGCCACAUUGGAACUGAGACACGGUCCAAACUCCUACGGGAGGCAGCAGUGGGGAAUAUUGCACAAUGGGCGAAAGCCUGAUGCAGCAACGCCGCGUGAGCGAUGAAGGCCUUUGGGUCGUAAAGCUCUGUCCUUGGGGAAGAAACAAAUGACGGUACCCAAGGAGGAAGCCCCGGCUAACUACGUGCCAGCCGCCGCAGUAA